This 1937-nucleotide long non-coding RNA is filed under the name Zonotrichia albicollis (white-throated sparrow). Its description in RNAcentral is "lncRNA (ENSZALG00000016221.1)". Lineage: Eukaryota; Metazoa; Chordata; Aves; Passeriformes; Passerellidae. The record is from RNAcentral.
CCAGCCCACCCCAGGCUGCCAGCGGAUCGCUGGCUCUGCAGACGGAAUGGGAAAGCGAUUUUUUGUGGGCUCAGAGAGUUGUGUGCGGCCAGAGCCGGACCUCCGGCCGCAUCCCGGGAAGGCUCCUCUGUGCUCUGUAAAGGAGCUCCUGUUUCACAGGAACCCCCACAAUGCAUGGGCUGAAAUGGGGGGUCCUCUUCGUGGGGACUGCCGGUAAAUUGGGAAAUAAAACUCUUUAACACCGGUGGAGGUCUAAGAAGCACACCCGGAUACAAGGCGGGUGACUCCGCCUAAGGUGCGCUCAUGGCUCGAGAUGAUUCACGCUUUUAUUGAGCGGCGCCAAUUCAUCAGAAAAUAUUACAUAUGAAGGUCUUUGCUGUCAGGGUGAGCCGUGCACGCGUUUUUGAACCAUUUGUUACUCAGGCAGCCGUGGAGCCCCUAAACUGGAUUGAGCGGCAUCGAGUUGUUACGGAUCCCUCGAUGUCCCACAGCCACAUCAACUCCCGUGAGCCGGGACACCCGCACCGGGGGUCCCCUCCAUGGGGCUCCUGUCAUAUGGGAUUCCUGUAAUUGGGGGCACAUCCCUAAUGGGCACGGCCUGUAAAUGAGGGGUCCUUCAGGGGUCCCUCCCUAAUGGGGGCUGCCUGUAAGUGAGGGGUCUUUCAAGGGUCCCUCCCUAAUGGGGGCAGCCUGUAAGGAGAGUGCCCUUAACGUUGCUUCUCCGUAAUUGGGUCGCCCUUUAAUGGGAGGGUAGUUCCUAAUGGGGACUGCCUGAAAUCGUGGCCCUUUCACUGGGGGCUCCACAAAAUGGGGGUCCCCUUAAUGAGUCACCGUAAAAUGAGGGCUGCUCCCCUGCACACCGUGGGCUCCCCAUGCGGCGCCUCCUCUAUAAUGGGGGGCUUUCUGUAACGGGGACCCCUCCGUGGGUGACCCCGGUAACGCGGGGGGAUGUUCUCGUCCCGAGAGACCCCGCUCAGAGCGCAGAGCACAGCCCAGCCCAGCUCAGCGCACAUGUGGCUGGGCUGUCCUCUGCUGUCCCGUCCCGUCCCCUCCCCUCCUCCGGCCGGCCCACACGCACACCCAGCCCUCCUCCUCCUUCUCCUCCUCCUCCUCCUCCUCCCACUUCCUCCGCACAAGGCGGGCUGCCGGCCGAGCAGGGGCAGCGCCCCCCCGUUCCCCGUGCGCGCCGAGCCCCCAGGCCAGCCCGUAGCGAUGCGCCGGGGGAGGCCCCGCGCCCCAGCCGCAGGCAGGCCAGCUCACCUCUCCCGUGGGGACAGCGGCACCGAGGUAUAAAUGGCCUCCAAACGGUACUCGCAGUCUGCAGGCCCCGUGGUUCUCAAGAAGCUGCCUCGUCUGGCGCCCGCCCCCAGCUGCCUGCCCGGCAAAAUCCCUGGCACAUCCAGCCCCGUGCCCCACCCUGGCUCUGGAAACCAUUUCAGCUACAAGGGCUCCUACUUUGCCUGCCCGCUGCAGAGCCCCGAGGGCCCCGAGCAGCCCCCGGCUGGCUGGAGCCCCACGCCCACCUACCUGCACUAUGGCCCUGGAGCUCUGAGCCAGCCCGUGCCGGCCGAGGGGCCACUGCUGGGCCUGCUGCUGUACCCCCCAGAGAGCCUGAGCACGAGGCUGCAGCCCCCAGACACCCAGAAGAGCAAGGACAGCCUGAGCCAGGAGCAACUUAUGGUCAGGAAGAAGCUGGACAGUCCCAGGUGCCCCUUGCCGGUGAAGAAGCCAGUAGUGGUGAAGAAGGCAGCUCCUCUGGCAGUCCCCAAGCCUGUGUAUGGAGCCCCUGCCUCCUUCCUGGCUCCCAGGAUGGCUCUGCUGCUGGGAGCACAAGCAGAGAGCCUGCAGCAGCGACCAGGGGAGGCACACUGGGCCCUGCCUCCUGCCACCCACCCUCUGCACCCCAGCGAGCCCCACAGGACUGCUCCUGGUGCUGA